CCUACGGGAGGCAGCAGUAGGGAAUAUUGCUCAAUGGGGGAAACCCUGAAGCAGCAACGCCGCGUGAAGGAUGAAGGUUUUCGGGUUGUUAACCCCUUUUUUUAGAGAAGAUAAUGACGGUAUCUAACGAAUAAGCAGCGGCUAACUAGGUGACAGCAGCCGCGGUAAUACGGCGGGUGCCAGCGUUACUCGGAAUAACUGGGCGUUAAGGGCGAGUAGGCGGGAUAGCAAGUCAGAUGGGAAAUCCUUGGGCUUAACCGUAGAAGUGCAGUUGAAACUGUCAGUCUAGAGUAUGGGAGAGGUAGGUGGAAUGCGUGGUGUAGGGGUGAAAGCCGUAGAGAUCAAGAGGAAUACUGAUUGCGAAGGCGGCGUACGAGAACCUAACUGACGCUGAGGCGCGAAAGCGUGGGGAGCAAACAGGAUUAGAUACCCUGGUAGUC
RNAcentral lists this ribosomal RNA (440 nucleotides) under uncultured bacterium. RNAcentral's name for it is "partial 16S ribosomal RNA". It matches the Rfam family "Bacterial small subunit ribosomal RNA", at positions 338 to 795 of the family's 1533-position model. The record is from RNAcentral.